GGAACUAGAUGUGGGGACCAUUCCACGGUCUCCGUGUCGCAGCUAACGCAUUAAGUUCCCCGCCUGGGGAGUACGGCCGCAAGGCUAAAACUCAAAGGAAUUGACGGGGGCCCGCACAAGCGGCGGAGCAUGCGGAUUAAUUCGAUGCAACGCGAAGAACCUUACCAAGGCUUGACAUAUACCGGAAACGGCCAGAGAUGGUCGCCCCGCAAGGUCGGUAUACAGGUGGUGCAUGGUUGUCGUCAGCUCGUGUCGUGAGAUGUUGGGUUAAGUCCCGCAACGAGCGCAACCCUCGUUCUAUGUUGCCAGCACGUUAUGGUGGGAACUCAUAGGAGACUGCCGGGGUCAACUCGGAGGAAGGUGGGGAUGACGUCAAAUCAUCAUGCCCCUUAUGUCUUGGGCUUCACGCAUGCUACAAUGGCCGGUACAAAGGGCUGCGAUACCGUAAGGUGGAGCGAAUCCCAAAAAGCCGGUCUCAGUUCGGAUUGAGGUCUGCAACUCGACCUCAUGAAGUCGGAGUCGCUAGUAAUCGCAGAUCAGCAACGCUGCGGUGAAUACGUUCCCGGGCCUUGUACACACCGCCCGUCAAGUCAUGAAAGUCGGUAACACCCGAAGCCAGUGGCCUAACCCCUUGUGGGAUGGAGCUGUCGAAGGUGGGA
This 659-nucleotide ribosomal RNA is filed under the name Frigoribacterium sp. Esch5-307. Its description in RNAcentral is "bacterial SSU rRNA". It matches the Rfam family "Bacterial small subunit ribosomal RNA", at positions 812 to 1467 of the family's 1533-position model. Lineage: Bacteria; Bacillati; Actinomycetota; Actinomycetes; Micrococcales; Microbacteriaceae. The record is from RNAcentral.